UGCAUCUCUCAGGUGGGGGCCAUUCCUACAGCAGUUGGACAGCAGAGAACCACAAAUCACAUUUACAGCAAAGCAGGUGGCCAAUUUUCACAUGUAGCCUAAAUGAAGUUCCACCACACCCUGGGCUGAGUGGGAAGGCUGCCCUUCCUAUAUGUAUGUUAGGCUAGCUUCUCUAGAAGAUAGAGCCUGGGACAAAAAUUGAAAAUGAGAUGUUUCAUUUGGAAGAUGCAAAUCCAUGGCAGCAAAGGUGAGACACAAGGAAGCGAGGCAAAGAAGGAUGCAAAGCCACACUAAGUGGUGUGUUUCCUUGAUGGCUAUUAUGUCACAAACAGCCCUGGAGACACCCAGAAGGUCACUGCACAGGACCUUUCAGCAUGACACGUGGGACUCAGCUGGAUGAGCUGCAAGGCAGACUAUCAUGAAGCAGUCCAUGGAGACAGGAAGAAGGAAUGUACGUGUCCUGCUCCCUCUCAACUCCUAUUUUCCACUGGUCGAAGUUUUCCUAGUGGGAGUUAACUCUUCUGCACUUCAGGAUUGUAUCACCCAGUCCUGAUGGCAGCCUCUCAGGAGACCAGUUCCCACCCCAUGCUGGAGAGUGUUUUCAUCCAAAUCUGGAAGAGUGGCUGACUCUGAAUUUGUUAAAUAAAUGAACUAGCAAGUUAAACCUCCGAAAUCUCAACAUCUGCCCUGGGGGAAAAGCUUAUGCUUUGCAAGGUGCAAACAGACUGUUAGAUGAGAUUGGAAAACUAGAAGCUAUUAUGCAAGUUGGAGAAAUACCAGAAGAACCUUUUAAAUGGAAAACAGGGACCAAGAGAGAUUGUAUAGAGGAGAACGUGAGAGGAAGAAACACAGGAGUGGCUGUGGAUCUGUGAGGGG
Molecule: long non-coding RNA, 876 nt
Organism: Gorilla gorilla gorilla (western lowland gorilla)
Lineage: Eukaryota; Metazoa; Chordata; Mammalia; Primates; Hominidae
Exons: 3
Source: RefSeq, a predicted model, not a curated record